Long non-coding RNA from Daphnia carinata, 972 nucleotides. RefSeq lists it as uncharacterized. Lineage: Eukaryota; Metazoa; Arthropoda; Branchiopoda; Diplostraca; Daphniidae. The transcript is spliced from 5 exons. The record is from RefSeq and is a predicted model, not a curated record.
GUCAUUUACCGCCAAGGUUUUGUGCGUCUAGGAUUGUGUUACUCAAUCUAAAUUUGAGAAUUAUUUAACUUCCACAGCAGAUUCAUUCUUUUAGCGGUAUUUCUCCCCGUAGCCUGCAAAAUUAAACUAAUUCAUGUAAUUUGUAAAUGGAUUUGGGGCCAGCUAAUCCCCUUUGCCACGAUGCUAUUAGGAAAGACUAUAAUGGAAGUAUUUUAACAUCCAGUACAUUAAGGAGGAACAGAGAUAUCUUUUCUGUUAUUCUGUGGUAAUGCCAGCUACUUUAUCACCCUGUUCCAUCAACUAAGCAAACGAGGUGCAGAUGAAAAAGUUUUCUUUUUGCUAAACAAAAAAAAGUGCUGCAUUGGCAUGAAGUAUGGACACCCCGCGCCGCCAUCGAACUGGAACUGCGACUGGAACGUUAUACAAAAGAAACGAGACGUGGCCGUCGUCGAAAAAGAACUUUGCAGCCAAAAGUUGUGGUACUGGCCAUCGUUUCUCCAAACAGUUGAACAAUACAGCCGCCAACAAGUAAGUUUGACUUUUCUUAUAAAAUUUUUAAUUUCACAUUUGCAAUAUGCAACCAGGGGCAAUGUGCGACGUCCAGAAGGCGUCCUCAACCGUGGAACGGUGACGAAGAGGCUCUGAAGAAGUGCGUCGCUAUAGUGUGUUCGCCCGGACACGGAUGAUGGCCAGUGAGGCCCUGUUGAAAAGUCGGUCGAUAAAAUUUGUGCUCCCUUCAAGCAAACACAUUCCAAAAGCUGUGACAUGCGAUGAAAAGGAACUGUUUAAGGGCAUUGUCUAUGUGGGAACGCUUUAACAAUUUUGAUAAAGUUGUCCUCCAUGCUACAGGAAAAGAUGUACUUCAAUACAUAAGAUCAUUCGAAGAAGCCGGCCUGCACCAACUACUACUUCAAAACAUUAAGAAUUCUGGCUACAUAAAACCAACACCUGUUCAGAAAGCUUCAGUUGUAG